UGCAACGCAGCAGGUCAUUCUUUUAUACUCUUGUUUGUAUGCAUUUUAAACGCGCUUCAUUGCGCACUAGGUGAUUCAUUCCAAUAGUUAACUCGCGCAGCGUGGGCGGAGUCUCGUACCUGUGCACGUGAGUGCAUGUUUGUGCGGUUUGGGUGCAAACAAAACAAUGGAUUAUCAUUAUUUACCAAGAAAUGUGGAUGUAUGGGGUCAUUUCGAUAAAGCAAUACUGAGUGUUUACGCUGCAGAAAACUUUGAUGAGCAACACUACGAUCCCCAAAUAAACAGAUGAGGAAGAGGAGGAUGAUGACGCUCCAACGUACAAUGAGAAAGUAAUCAAGAGAAGUGGCAUCGCUGAAGAAAUGGCAGAUGUCCUCAGACACCUGUGAACACUGAGCAGUGCUUGGAGUCCAAGACAGUGGACAUCAUCUUUAUUAUACCGGUACUUCUCUGACUGGACUAGCAAGGAGCAGAGCCAAUGAGAAAGUUGAGUCAACAAACACCAGGUGCUUUUGAUGGACAGGGGAUCCAUCAGUGUUUGCCCAGCUUCCAGUGAAUAUUGGCGAAAUUGGAUUCGGAGUGACAAUUGAAGAGGGAGCUGGGGGCCGGCAGUUGGGUCAUUAAUGACCUCUCCAUAACAGGUGUCUCGCCUAUCUGACAGAAAGGAGGAGGAGAAGGUACGGAAUGUAUUUACAGGUCUGUAGUGGAGAAACCACAGAGCACUUCUCAGGAGAUGACACUGUCACUCAGUGUCAUCCAAACUCAUUUACUGUGUCAUUUACUGUUGUCUCCAAGAGAGCCGAGACCGGGCUCCCAGUUGCGGUCAGGCUGGAAGAUAUCCUCAAACUGAUAAGAUGUGUCAGGAUGAUGUUUUAUUUUGGGGUUUUAGGCACAGUGUGAAACCAUGUCCAUGUUGUCAAGGACUGAACUUUCUGGAGUUUGUGAAAAGCACAGCCUGCUUUCUCUUUUAGUUGUCAUGUGAUGUAGAUAGAAUUAGCGAUGC
Sinocyclocheilus rhinocerous is the source of this 1000-nucleotide long non-coding RNA. RefSeq lists it as uncharacterized. Lineage: Eukaryota; Metazoa; Chordata; Actinopteri; Cypriniformes; Cyprinidae. The transcript is spliced from 4 exons. The record is from RefSeq and is a predicted model, not a curated record.